Molecule: small RNA, 27 nt
Filed under: Bombyx mori (domestic silkworm)
Lineage: Eukaryota; Metazoa; Arthropoda; Insecta; Lepidoptera; Bombycidae
Description: ovarian small RNA-19353
Source: RNAcentral
UAAGUAACUAACUAUAAGAAGUAACCA